CCAGUUCAACAAUAAUGGUUCCAAGAGAGCCACUGAGAUCACUGGCCCAUCCCCUUCAUUUCCUCAGGGAUACACUGCUGAUGGAACUGGAGCUGCCUUGGGCAGUGCUGCGCCCUCUGGGGAAUCUGCUUGGGGCUCUCAGUGUGAAAGGAGCUUUGGUGGGAUCCUCCCUGAGAGGGGAACAGAGGGGAAUCCUCUCUGGAAGUGCUGGUGGAGAUCCCUCCCAGCAGCAGGGAAAGGUUUGCUGGUGCUGGUGGAAGUGCAGCUCCGUGUUGUACAGCAUCUCACACAGGACAACCAUCCCUCACUGCCCAGGAAACCUUUGCAUGAACCCCUGGAAUUCCAAGUGCAAAUUUGAUGGUGAGGAAGAGGAUGGACUCAUCCUUCAGCUCCUCACAGGACACCACCAUGCAGCACAGGACCCAGCACGCUCCUACCAGGGACUCCACUGGAGCCUUCUCAACCAUAGGCAGUGAUUCCCUAAGUGCACCGAGCAUUUUAAAAUUCUGCCAGUAUUUUAAUUGCAGAAAGUUUCCUUUCCAGUCCCAUUUAUUGGGUCAAAUCUUUGCUCCAUCAAGUGCCCGUGUCAGCUGCUAAAGAACUGCAUACAGCCCAUUAAAAGAGCAUUUAAUCCUC
This is a long non-coding RNA of Parus major (Great Tit), 636 nucleotides long. RefSeq lists it as uncharacterized. The transcript has 2 exons. NCBI's taxonomy places the organism in Eukaryota, Metazoa, Chordata, Aves, Passeriformes, Paridae. The record is from RefSeq and is a predicted model, not a curated record.